CCCACUGCUAUCGGGAUAGGACUAAGACAUGCUAGUUGAGCGCUUCCAGCCAACACGGGAGCGCAGCGCACAGCUCAGUAACACGUGGCUAAUCUGCCCUUGGGACCGGAACACCCCCGGGAAACUGGGGCUAAUUCUCGAUAGGUGAAGAACUCUGGAAUGAGUCUCCGCUUAAAAGACGUUUGCGUUAUGCUCGUAAGCGUCGCCCAAGGAUGAGGCCGCGACCGAUCAGGUUGUUGGUGAGGUAAUGGCUCACCAAGCCUUUUACCGGUGCGGGCCGUGAGAGCGGGAGCCCGGAGAUGGGCACUGAGACAAGGGCCCAGGCCCUACGGGGCGCAGCAGUCGCGAAAACUUUGCAAUACACGAAAGUGUGACAGGGCUAUCCCGAGUGCCAUCCGCUGAGGAAGGCUUUUACCCAGUCUAGAACGCUGGGGGAAUAAGGAGAGGGCAAGUCUGGUGUCAGCCGCCGCGGUAAUACCAGCUCUCCGAGUGGUGUGGAUGUUUAUUGGGCCUAAAGCAUCCGUAGCUGGCUGAGUUAGUCCCUUGUUAAAUCCACCGAAUUAAUCGUUGGAUCGCGGGGGAUACUGCUUGGCUAGGGGACGAGAGAGGCAGACGGUAUUUUCGGGGUAGGGGUGAAAUCCUAUAAUCCCGGGAAGACCACCAGUGGCGAAGGCUGUCUGCUAGAACGCGCCCGACGGUGAGGGAUGAAAGCUGGGGGCACGAACCGGAUUAGAUACCCGGGUAGUCCCAGCUGUAAACGAUGCUCGCUAGGUGUCAGGUGCGGUGCGACCGCAUCUGGUGCCGCAGUGAAAACUUGAAGCGAGUCACCUGGGAAGUACGGUCGCAAGGCUGAAACUUAAAGGAAUUGGCGGGGGAGCACUACAACGGGUGG
This 892-nucleotide ribosomal RNA is filed under the name uncultured archaeon. Its description in RNAcentral is "bacterial SSU rRNA". It matches the Rfam family "Archaeal small subunit ribosomal RNA", at positions 23 to 891 of the family's 1478-position model. The record is from RNAcentral.